UGAGGUCGGUGUUUUGUCUGCGGAAGUGACCUAACGACGAGUAUAGGAAGGAUGACAGUGGACACCUUCGAGAGGGGACGGCGAAACGAGAAGAAGAAGACAUCGACUAACGAACGAAACCCAAGAAUAGCGCGGACGGUGCGCUAGCCGCGAAGCGAGAAGGUGAUGACAGACGUUGAGGUCUAUAGCAAGAUCAAAAUGAACGCAUUAAGACCUUUCCCCUGUAUCGAGCAAACACUAGAAAAGAACUACGUUUAUAGAACUUUCUGUCCUCUAAGUGUUUUGCCAAACAGAACAGCGGGACCACGGCUGUAGAUUUGAGGAGAAGUGAUCCGUCGUUUUCGAAGAGGUCCUAUAUACAUACGCGAACGUAAGGGUUAAAGGGUCUGUUGUAAAUCUCGAUUUUUUCUGAUCUUGUGAACUAUCUCCUCUUGCUUCGACGAACCAAGUUGUCUGGCGUUCGUCCUACCUCUACCGCCAUCCCCGCCGAAGCUCCCACCACCACGUUGACCACGCACCUCAGCACCAGCAGAACUUCCUACGUGAGGUCGACGUUCCACGAGCUCCCGACCUGGAACUUGCCGGUUGCUCGCCUCUGUGCGGGAACGUGGUCCAUGGCCUCGACGGCGAAUUGUAGACGUACCAUAGGCUCUACAAGGACGUCUAGGAACGGUGCCCCGAGCCGCGGGAGCGGAACCAGACCCGCUGGCAGCAGGACGAGCCGCCAAAGAGGUGAAUAGAUGUGUUCCGACUAAAGACCCAGUAGUGGCGAUAGCAGAAGUAGGUUUGUCGGUCCCAGCACCCGUAUUUACAUUCGGGGCUCCGUCUUAAAAAGUUGGUUCAAGGUGUUCGUAAGGAGCUUAACCCGCGGCUCGUGAUGUGCUUUACCCCCGCUGCUUCUGGGGACUGACCGGCUCGUUGACCGGUUUUGAAGCAAAUGAUAGAGUACGACCGUGAACCUUCACGUUCCCUAAAGUAUUGGUAACACCGGAAGGAUCGUUAUAACCAGGAACGUCAAGGCUACUAGCGUCCCAAUCCGACGUAUAGUGAAAGGUAGAUAGCAGAGCAACGGGAGGACAGCUCUGUAGUACCGUUACUGUUACACAAAGCACGUGAGUAGAACAAGAUACGAGAGCACGAAGAGGUUCCACCUAACAAGUAGAACACCAACAAAGACUCCGACAUAGCAAGAAUAGAACGUUUGGUGCACUCGAAGUUCAUACCUGAACUCCUGUUCUCUCUUAACUAACUGUUUAUAUACCCGUUUUGGAACUCGUGCCGGUAUUUUUUACCCCACCGUCCAUGGUAGUUGUCCUUGGACCGAAGGAAGCGUCGUCUUUACUACUUUAGACUCAUGUCAGUCCUGGCGUAACUACGUCAAAACCACUACGUAUCUAACUGUAGGGUUCUCCUGGUAUCUUGUUCUUGUGAUAGGGUCUAUGUUAGGAGUGGCGAGACACAAAGGUCCGACGAACUGUACCAAUGGAGUUUGAGUUUCUCGGCGUGACUAGUCUCCUGUUCUUAUACGUAGCGUCUUUAACACCGUGUAGAACGAUCGUUGAACACGGACCGACUGUAUAGUCCUCGUUGUCUCAGGUAUAGAAGGUACUAACUAGGGAUGAAAUACUUUUAUAAUCGUGGUCGAUGGUUACAGUUGUAACCGGUAGUCUGUCGAUAACUGUAGUGUUGACUGGUCGUCCCCCGAUAAGUCAGUCGGUCGCGAUGGUUACCUCCUCUUUCGUAGCCUAAAACAUAAAUAGAAUUCUUUAAUUACCUGUACCAUCGAGGCGUAUGACGUCUUAAGUAGUCUUUAUCUGUCGUUCUUUGAGGAGCUAGGAGGUCCUGAUGGUCACCUCGACUUUCGUUUGGAGAUUAAUAGGUACCGGACAACUAAGAACGGUUCGAACGUCAAUUGGGCCUGUUGACGUUUGUGUAUAUACUAAUGUUCCCAGAGAAGAGGUUCUAGUAUAGGGGUCAGUUUUGAUUUCACAUACUCUAGGAGUCUCUACUACCAUAGUGGUACCUUUAUUGACUCUUCCGUGACCUUCACCACUCGUACGAACAGUCACCGUGUCUACUUUGGUCACUUUUCUAUGCGGCUCUAUAAACAUCGUUGCCCUAUCAUCGUGUUGUAUAGACGAGUUAGAACCUUUUCCUGGUGUACAUGUUGUUCGAUUUCCAAGGUCGUUGUUUCUAGGAUUACCUCGAUAGAAACCUAUGCAGGUGAGUUCGAUGGGAACCUGAACUACCGCAUCGACUUAAGUAAUUACUGAACUACCUGUAGAAGAAACUACGACGAUUACUCUCAGUUCUUGAGUUCUUCUGGCGUCCCCUUCGUAACCGUCAUGACCGUUACCUGUUACGGUUAACAUACUGCUAGUGCUUAAAGUCGAGUCUCUGUUUUUGAAGUCAAGUCGACGAGUGUCUAUACUAAGGACGCCAUUUGCGGUCUAAUAUAGUUUGAUGGUAUCGUGUUGACGACUACGUUGAAACACGUUCAAAAUUGGGACGUCUUUCCCUCCUCGUAGAGCGUAGUCAGUUUUGUUAAGAUGUACUCCAUGAGUUUCAAUAUACGUUGUAACUUGUUCGUCGUUUACGUUUAGUCCACCCAAGAGGGGUCGUAUUGGACCCGGUCGUUGUUCGUCGUUUGUGUUUAGUCCGCCCAAGAGGGGUCGUAUUGGGCCCGGUCGUUGUUCGUCGUUGGCGUUUAGUCUGCCCAAGGGGGGUCGUAUUGGUUCCGGUCGUUGUUCGUCGUUUGUGUUUAGUCCACCCAAGAGGUGUCGUAUUGAGUCCGGUCGUUGUUCGUCGUUUGCGUUUAGUCCGCCCAAGAGGGGUCGUAUUGGGUCCGGUCGUUGUUCGUCGUUUGUGUUUAGUCCGCCUAAGUGGUGUCGUUUUGACCCCGGCCGGGGGUAAAAGAGCCCGUAAAAUAGCGAACUUGUCAAAAGAGCCCCGAGUGGUGAGAGUGCGACGAUUGUCUUUGUUAGGGUUACUGUUAAACGGCCGACAAUGAGUCGAACAUCCACGAUCUUCUUUUAGGGACCGUCGGAAGAAUCCGGAAUGUAACCUCUAUACACUGUUUGACCUCUAGUCAGGUCUACUAAAACUACUACGCGAACGCGAGUAAGGAGAAAGGUACCUACUGAAACACCUAUUUGACUUAGUAUAUUAUCUUGUCACGUUCCCGGUGAGACAACUAUCGAACCUUCCCUUCCCGGGGAGUCAACUCAUAGACUAUUAUUAGUUCCGUCACUGUUUCAAUACAUGUACCUACUACCUUUCGUUCGGUCUGACGUAAUGUCAUAAGGUUUUGUUCUUGUGAUCGUGUUUUGACGUUCCACGGAACCUCCUAUACUCUCUGGACCUUGAUCCAUACGAGGAAUGGCCGUCACGUCCCCUGUACCGAUUAAUGGUUUGGGAAAGUUUGUAGCACCCACAACGUGCCGUCUACUACCUACGAUUACACGUUCAAAUUUAUCCUUACCCACCUUUUCUUAAUGUUCACACCCCAAAAGAAAGCCACGGAUGAAAAGUCUCUUAACAAAAGAGGUACACAGAGGGGUGCACAUUCUUAGUUCUAUCGAUGAACUAAAAAAUAGAAGGGCCAAAUGUUAGACGAACUAAAAGGCACCUAAUUAACACGAACUGAAAACGACACAAACA
This 3660-nucleotide ribosomal RNA is filed under the name Triticum aestivum (bread wheat). Its description in RNAcentral is "partial small subunit ribosomal RNA". Lineage: Eukaryota; Viridiplantae; Streptophyta; Magnoliopsida; Poales; Poaceae. The record is from RNAcentral.